CGAACGCUGGCGGCAUGCCUCACACAUGCAAGUCGAACGAGACCUUCGGGUCUAGUGGCGCACGGGUGCGUAACGCGUGGGAACCUGCCCUUAGGUUCGGAAUAACUCCCCGAAAGGGGUGCUAAUACCGGAUAAUGUCUUCGCACCAAAGAUUUAUCGCCUUUGGAUGGGCCCGCGUUGGAUUAGCUAGUUGGUAGGGUAAAAGCCUACCAAGGCGACGAUCCAUAGCUGGUCUGAGAGGAUGAUCAGCCACACUGGGACUGAGACACGGCCCAGACUCCUACGGGAGGCAGCAGUGGGGAAUAUUGGACAAUGGGCGAAAGCCUGAUCCAGCAAUGCCGCGUGAGUGAUGAAGGCCUUAGGGUUGUAAAGCUCUUUUACCCGGGAUGAUAAUGACAGUACCGGGAGAAUAAGCUCCGGCUAACUCCGUG
RNAcentral lists this ribosomal RNA (431 nucleotides) under uncultured bacterium. Its description in RNAcentral is "partial 16S ribosomal RNA". It matches the Rfam family "Bacterial small subunit ribosomal RNA", at positions 30 to 507 of the family's 1533-position model. The record is from RNAcentral.